UAAAGCUCAUGUAACCCACACAAGGUUACUGGAGUGCAACUCUCUACUCUACCUGCGGGUGGCGCAUACACCCCGGGAGUUCACUUAACAACACGUUUUUUCCGGUAAAGACGUUGCUAAACGCAAACAAGGACUGGAUAAAAGCUGUGAGAGAGAGUUAAGCCGCAUGGCAGCGAGCUUCUCAAGAUACCUCCGAUUGUUUUUUUUUUAGAAAGGGAUAGACCAUCUGAAUCUGACCCUAGCAGUCAGUGGCGAGCCAACCGCAGAAGCGAACGGAUCAAGAGCCCGGUGUGGCCAGCUGUGGCAUCUUUGGAACCAGCAUCAUCCUGUACCUUCAAUUGUGAUACAGAUAAGAACACACGUAAACCUACCCGGGUAGUGAAAAGAACAUACUCUAAGAAACACACACACACACAUCAAGGACUUCCAUGGACUCUCUUCUUUAUUUGAGUUUUAUUUUGAUUUUAUUGUGCGCUGUGCACUCAGGAAGCCGGUUUAGGUAGGCAGGGACUGUAAAGAACUGUCAUUCAUUUGGUAUAAUAAUGUUUAAAUUUAUCUGUUUUGUGUUGUCUGUUCUCUGAUGACCAUUCACUAUUUCAGGCUCCAUGGUCGUGUCUAGAGCUUCUGAUACUAGCCCAGCUUUAAUUUGUUAAUACUUAAAUUAGGUAUUAGUUACAUUAACCUAAGAAAAAGGUUACACUCAGCACAUAUUAUACAGAAUCGUCACGGAGCUGUGUUCAGAAAUGGCUCAACUAUACAACUUACUGUACAUAGUGAGAUACAAACGUUGACAAAAUUGUUGGUACACUUCGGUCAAUGAAAGAAAAACUCAA
Molecule: long non-coding RNA, 833 nt
Organism: Tachysurus fulvidraco (yellow catfish)
Lineage: Eukaryota; Metazoa; Chordata; Actinopteri; Siluriformes; Bagridae
Exons: 3
Source: RefSeq, a predicted model, not a curated record